UUGACCUUUCUUCUCAUCAUCACUGGAAUCCUCAACAUCGUUCUUGUCUUUGUCCUUUGCCUCAUCAGGAUCCUCAUCAGCAAUUCUACGGAUCAUAUCAAGGGCCUUUCGAAUAAGUUUCUUCUUAAUUGUUUUCAAGCUACUGUGUUGUUGGAGCAUUUCUCGUGAAACAUUGAGUGGUAAAGUAUCGGAAUCAACAAGACCCUUCAAAAAGUUCAAAUACUUAGGCAAAAGCUCAUCAAAUUCAUCCGAGAUGAAGACACGUCUAACAUACAACUUCAAGUUGGAUUUGUUAGCGUUGUAAUAACUCUCAUAAAGAUCAUGAGGAGCCUUUGGAGGCACAAACAAAACAGCCUUGAAUUCAACAUCCCCUUCUGCUGUAAAAUGACUCCAAGCUAAAGGCUUCUCAUCACCGAAAUCCUUUGCUAGAGAAUGAUAGAAUUUUGUGUACUCUUCAUCUGUCACCUCCUUUGGAUUUCGCAGCCAUAUCGCCUUGACGUCAUUCAAAAGUUCCCAAUCAUAAGUAGUUUCCUUCACUUUUUUUGUCUUUGGUUUGUCCUCUGCAUCCUCGUCUUCACCUUUCUCAGUUUCCUCUUCCUCUUCAGAGCUUUCAGGUUUUUCCUCUUCAUCACUAGACUCAUCUUCAUCAGCAGGA
This 655-nucleotide unclassified non-coding RNA is filed under the name Hevea brasiliensis (rubber tree). The record is from RNAcentral. Lineage: Eukaryota; Viridiplantae; Streptophyta; Magnoliopsida; Malpighiales; Euphorbiaceae.